GUACCGACUAGCUAGGAUAACUAGGAUGCUGCUGGUAGAGUAGCUAGCUAGCUUACCUAGCUGUACCGACUAGCUAGGAUAACUAGGAUGCUGCUGGUAGAGUAGCUAGCUAGCUUACCGAGCUUUAUCGACUAGCCAGGAUAACUAGGAUGCUGCUGAUAGAGUAGCUAGCUAGCUUUCCUAGCUGUACCGACUAGCUUGGCUAGCUAGCAGGUCGUUCGUCUGUAACCUCGUCUCGAGGAUGAUGAUGAAUCCGGUGAACAACAAAAUGAAACAAGGACAGAGAGUGAAAAGGAUCUGGCGACACUCAUACUGUCCCUGACCGUAAAGCAAAAGCAAAUUGAACAAUAAACUUCGACAUCUCAACACUGUAGCGAACUCCAUCGUUGGUAUCCAAGAUCACCUCAGCCACUCUGCGCGUAACCGGGACAAUAUGCUUGGCGCCGCACCGGACGUGGACGCGGGCAGUUUUGUACAGGGACGGGGACAGUUCCAGAAUGCGGACAUGAGCAGUGCAACACAAUCAACUAAACCCAGUCUUUCAUUUUUUAUUAUUAUUAUGAAAAACUAUAUGUAUAGUAAUGUAUAGUAAUGUAUAGUAUUGUAUAGUAAUGUAUAGUAAUGUAUAGUAUUGUAUAGUAUUGUAUAGUAAUGUAUAGUAAUGUAUAGUAUUGUAUAGUAAUGUAUAGUAAUGUAUAGUAUUGUAUAGUAUUGUAUAGUAUUGUAUAGUAAUGUAUUGUAUUGUAUUGUAUAGUAAUGUAUUGUAUUGUAAUGUAUUGUAUUGUAAUGUAUAGUAUAGUAUAGUAUUGUAUAGUAAUGUAUUGUAUUGUAUAGUAAUGUAUUGUAUUAUAAUGUAUUGUAUUGUAUUGUAAUGUAUUGUAUUAUAUUGUAUAGUAUUGUAUAGUAUUGUAUAGUAUUGUAUAGUAUUGUAUAGUAAUGUAUAGUAUUGUAUAGUAUUGUAUAGUAUUGUAUAGUAUUGUAUAGUAAUGUAUUGUAUUGUAUUGUAUUGUAUUGUAUUGUAAUGUAUUAUAUUGUAUUGUAUUGUAUUGUAAUGUAUUGUAUUGUAUAGUAAUGUAUAGUAUUGUAUAGUAUUGUAUAGUAAUGUAUUGUAUUGUAUUGUAUUAUAUUGUAUUAUAAUGUAUUGUAAUGUAUUGUAAUGUAUUGUAUUGUAUUGUAUUGUAAUGUAUUGUAAUGUAUAGUAUAAUAUUGUAUAGUAUUGUUUAGUAAUGUAUUGUAUUGUAUUGUAUUGUAUUGUAUUGUAAUGUAUUGUAUUGUAAUGUAUUGUAUUGUAUUGUAUUGUAUUGUAAUGUAUUGUGUUGUAUUGUAUUGUAUUGUAUAGUAAUGUAUAGUAUUGUAUAGUAUUGUAUUGUAUUGUAUUGUAAUGUAUUGUAUUGUAAUGUAUUGUAUUGUAUUGUAUUGUAUUAUAAUGUAUUGUAAUGUAUUGUAAUGUAUUCUAUUGUAAUGUAUUGUAAUGUAUUGUAAUGUAUAGUAUAGUAUUGUAUAGUAAUGUAUUGUAUUGUAUUGUAUUGUAAUGUAUUGUAAUGUAUAGUAUAGUAUUGUAUAGUAAUGUAUAGUAUUGUAUAGUAUUGUAUAGUAUUGUAUAGUAAUGUAUUGUAUUGUAUUGUAUAGUAAUGUAUUGUAUUGUAAUGUAUUGUAUUGUAAUGUAUAGUAUAGUAUAGUAUUGUAUAGUAAUGUAUUGUAUUGUAUAGUAAUGUAUUGUAUUAUAAUGUAUUGUAUUGUAUUGUAUUGUAAUGUAUUGUAUUGUAUUGUAUUAUAUUGUAUAGUAUUGUAUAGUAUUGUAUAGUAUUGUAUAGUAUUGUAUAGUAAUGUAUAGUAUAGUAUAGUAUUGUAUAGUAAUGUAUUGUAUAGUAAUGUAUUGUAUUGUAUUGUAUUGUAUUGUAAUGUAUUCUAUUGUAAUGUAUUGUAUAGUAAUGUAUUGUAUUGUAAUGUAUUAUAUUGUAUUGUAUUGUAAUGUAUUGUAUUGUAUAGUAAUGUAUAGUAUUGUAUAGUAUUGUAUAGUAAUGUAUUGUAUUGUAUUGUAAUGUAUUGUAUUGUAUUGUAUUGUAAUGUAUUGUAAUGUAUAGUAUAAUAUUGUAUAGUAUUGUUUAGUAUUGUAUUGUAUUGUAAUGUAUUGUAUUGUAAUGUAUUGUAUUGUAUUGUAAUAUAUUGUAUUGUAUUGUAAUGUAUUGUGUUGUAUUGUAAUGUAUUGUGUUGUAUUGUAUUGUAUAGUAAUGUAUAGUAUUGUAUAGUAUUGUAUUGUAUUGUAUUGUAUUGUAAUGUAUUGUAUUGUAUUGUAAUGUAUUGUAUUGUAUUGUAUUGUAUUAUAAUGUAUUGUAAUGUAUUGUAAUGUAUUCUAUUGUAAUGUAUUGUAAUGUAUUGUAAUGUAUAGUAUAGUAUUGUAUAGUAAUGUAUUGUAUUGUAUUGUAAUGUAUUGUAAUGUAUAGUAUAGUAUUGUAUAGUAAUGUAUUGUAUUGUAUUGUAAUGUAUAGUAAUGUAUUGUAUUGUGUUAUAAUGUAUUGUAUUGUAUUGUAUUGUAUUGUAAUGUAUUGUAAUGUAUUGUAAUGUAUUGUAAUGUAUUGUAUUGUAUUGUAUUGUAAUGUAUUGUAUUGUAUUGUAAUUCAUUGUAUUGUAAAAAAGUCAGCCAGAGUUGACGUGGGCCAUCGUUCAAAUAAAGAGAUGCCUCCCUGACCACCAGUGUGUUUGGAUAUAAUGAAGAUCAGUUCAGUGAAGAAGAACCACUAGAGUUCUGAUCAAAGAACCCUAUAAAGGGUUCUAUAUAGAAGUUUAGUGGUUCUGUAUAUUAAGCAAGAUAGAACCCUUCUUGGUUUAAACAGGAGUGAAUACCGUGUUGAUAUAAUGGUAAUAUUGUCUGAAUUCCGCUUGUAACAACAAUCAGAACUAGUAAAACAAUAAAGUUAUGCCUGCCAACAUAUUAGGCAAUAAUUAAGAGUAGGCAAAACGAUUGUGUCAUACCAAAAUUCUAUAGGUGUGUGUGUGUUGGUGAGACAACCACAUAUCACAGUCAAAUAUACAGGAUACAAACAUUUCAUUCCAGCUAUAUAGUGUUUUGCAAAAGAAAAAUUCAUACACAAAAAAUCUAUGAAUUAAAAUCUUAGAACAACAAUAUUUUACAGACUCCUGAAGGUACCCGUAAGCAAUCAUUUCUGAUGAAAAAUAAUAAAUGUGAAAAAAUUGUCGGUAUAACAUUUUAGAAACAAAGUUCUUAAACGACAUUGUCAUCUCACCUCUUAGUUUUGAUGUCAUGUCCCCCAGAGAGAUGCAUUUUAGAGGCAGGGCCCCCUUCCUUCCUCUCCCCAGAGAAACUCAUUUUAGAGGCAGGGCCCCCCUCCUCUCUCUCCCCAGAGAAAAUAAUUUUAGAGGCAGGGCCCCCCUCCUCUCUCUCCCCAGAGAAACUCAUUUUAGAGGCAGGGCCCCCCUCCUCUCUCUCCCCAGAGAGACUCAUUUUAGAGGCAGGACCCCUAAACAGAGAUCCAGCACGUUGGUUGUGGUUAACACAGUGACAACUAAUUAUUGAAUAUCAAUUGUUGUAUUUUAUUCAUUAUCUCUUAGAAAUAAAACAUUUACUAACAGACAUAGAAAGACACAUCCAAACAGUUAGGUGAUUUAAUAUUUUUCACCCUUUCUCCAUGUAGUGGAACUAAUAAUAAUAAAACAAUUUAACAACAAUAAUAUUAAUAAUAAUAAUGUGUCACUUUCUCUUUUAAUAAUUUCUCUCAUUCUAGUGUGUUGCUUUGUUUAACAGGUAUGAUAUUAUUAUGCUGUUACUGAAUUCAGUUCAUAAUAACAAUGUUAAGAAAAGUAUGUUCAGUGGUUUCAA
RNAcentral lists this long non-coding RNA (3838 nucleotides) under Salmo salar (Atlantic salmon). RNAcentral describes it as "lncRNA (ENSSSAG00000096118.1)". The record is from RNAcentral. Lineage: Eukaryota; Metazoa; Chordata; Actinopteri; Salmoniformes; Salmonidae.